RNAcentral lists this ribosomal RNA (238 nucleotides) under uncultured bacterium. Its description in RNAcentral is "partial 16S ribosomal RNA". It matches the Rfam family "Bacterial small subunit ribosomal RNA", at positions 539 to 776 of the family's 1533-position model. The record is from RNAcentral.
CGUUGUUCGGAAUUACUGGGCGUAAAGCGCGUGUAGGGGGCAGCGUGUGUCGGGCGUGAAAUCCCACGGCUCAACCGUGGAAGUGCACUCGAAACUGCGCAGCUAGAGUCCUGGAGAGGAAGGUGGAAUGCUUGGUGUAGAGGUGAAAUUCGUAGAUAUCAAGCGGAACACCGGUGGCGAAGGCGGCCUUCUGGACAGUGACUGACGCUGAGACGCGAAGGCGUGGGGAGCAAACAGG